Molecule: transfer RNA, 110 nt
Filed under: Candidatus Woesearchaeota archaeon
Lineage: Archaea; Nanobdellati; Candidatus Woesearchaeota
Description: tRNA-Ile
Rfam family: tRNA
About the family: Transfer RNA (tRNA) molecules are approximately 80 nucleotides in length. Their secondary structure includes four short double-helical elements and three loops (D, anti-codon, and T loops).
Source: RNAcentral
GGGCCCGUAGCUCAGCCUGGUUAGAGCGCUGGUCUUAUAAGCCAGAGGUCCUGGGUUCAAAUUGACUAAAAGGCACACUCCCUUUGGUCGUGAAAGUCCCAGCGGGCCCA